Molecule: ribosomal RNA, 253 nt
Filed under: uncultured bacterium
Lineage: Bacteria
Description: partial 16S ribosomal RNA
Rfam family: Bacterial small subunit ribosomal RNA
Source: RNAcentral
UACGUAGGGGGCAAGCGUUGUCCGGAAUUAUUGGGCGUAAAGAGCUCGUAGGCGGCCUGUUGCGUCCGCUGUGAAAGCCCGGGGCUUAACCCCGGGUCGGCAGUGGAUACGGGCAGGCUAGAGGUAGGUAGGGGAGAAUGGAAUUCCCGGUGUAGCGGUGAAAUGCGCAGAUAUCGGGAGGAACACCGGUGGCGAAGGCGGUUCUCUGGGCCGUAACUGACGCUGAGGAGCGAAAGCAUGGGGAGCGAACAGG